Molecule: unclassified non-coding RNA, 1022 nt
Filed under: Hevea brasiliensis (rubber tree)
Lineage: Eukaryota; Viridiplantae; Streptophyta; Magnoliopsida; Malpighiales; Euphorbiaceae
Source: RNAcentral
GCCCUAACCAUUCAUUAACCUUAUCUGUCUUCACUCCGGCGAACGGCGAUGUCUCACUUCGGUAGAUCAGGCCCACCGGACAUCAAAGACACCUACUCUCUGCUCGUUCUCAACGUUACUUUUCGUACCACUGCUGAUGACUUGUUUCCUCUAUUUGAUAAGUAUGGAAAAGUAGUCGAUGUCUUUAUCCCUAGAGACCGAAGGACUGGAGAUUCUAGGGGUUUUGCAUUUGUGCGCUACAAGUAUCAGGAUGAGGCUCAAAAAGCAGUGGAAAAGCUUGAUGGAAGAGUUGUAGAUGGUCGGGAAAUCAUGGUUCGAUUUGCGAAGUACGGCCCUAAUGCUGAGAGAAUUGACAAAGGUAGAAUUUUGGAGCCUGUACAAAGGCCAAAAGGGAGGUCAAGAAGCCGCAGUCCUAGACCAAGGCAUCGUGAUCAUAGGGACAAGGAUUCUAGAAGGAGAAGCCGAAGUAGAAGUAGAAGUAGAAGUAGGGGAAGGUAUGAGCGUGAUCAGUACCGUGGAAGAGACAGAGAUAACCGUCAUCGGAGCAGAAGCCGCAGCCCUGAUUACCACAGAGGUCGUGGGAGAGGUAAAUAUGAUGAGGACAGGCGCAGCCGAAGUCGGUCUCAUGGAAGAAGUGCCUCCCCUGCUCGCCGUAGCCCCAGUCCUCGAAGGAGCCCUUCUCCACGAAGAACAACUCCUCCUAGGGAUGCUAGUCCAGAUGGACGUAAUCACAAGGACCGGUCUCCAACUCCAAAGUGUAUAUCACCUCGGGGUAGACGUGCUGGUUCUCGCAGCCCCUUGCCACGUUCUGAUGCUGAUGAUUGAGGAGCAAGGGAGGAGCCACAGUUGUAAUCUGGCUUUGGUUGAUGCUGCGUAUCAGGACAUUCCUAAGUGAAUGAUACUUUCAUCUGUAUUCUGCUUGCUAGAACUGGUUGGCCAGACUUAUUUAUAAGGUUUAACUUCUUUUUGUUGUACUUAACCAGAACUUCUUUUGAUGUUACAUCUGCAUUCUGGUAUUAUGG